CAGUCGAACGAGAGAGAGGAAGCUUGCUUCCUCAAUCGAGUGGCGAACGGGUGCGUAUCGCGUGAGGAACCUGCCUCAAAGAGGGGGACAACAGUUGGAAACGACUGCUAAUACCGCAUAAGCCCACAGCUCGGCAUCGAGCAGAGGGAAAAGGAGCAAUCCGCUUUGAGAUGGCCUCGCGUCCGAUUAGCUAGUUGGUGAGGUAACGGCCCACCAAGGCGACGAUCGGUAGCCGGACUGAGAGGGUGACCGGCCACAUUGGGACUGAGACACGGCCCAAACUCCUACGGGAGGCAGCAGUGGGGAAUAUUGCACAAUGGGGGAAACCCUGAUGCAGCGACGCCGCGUGAGCGAAGAAGUAUUUCGGUAUGUAAAGCUCUAUCAGCAGGGAAGAAAAUGACGGUACCUGACUAAGAAGCACCGGCUAAAUACGUGCCAGCAGCCGCGGUAAUACGUAUGGUGCAAGCGUUAUCCGGAUUUACUGGGUGUAAAGGGAGCGUAGACGGCUGUGUAAGUCUGAAGUGAAAGCCCGGGGCUCAACCCCGGGACUGCUUUGGAAACUAUGCAGCUAGAGUGUCGGAGAGGUAAGUGGAAUUCCCAGUGUAGCGGUGAAAUGCGUAGAUAUUGGGAGGAACACCAGUGGCGAAGGCGGCUUACUGGACGAUGACUGACGUUGAGGCUCGAAAGCGUGGGGAGCAAACAGGAUUAGAUACCCUGGUAG
This 721-nucleotide ribosomal RNA is filed under the name uncultured bacterium. RNAcentral describes it as "bacterial SSU rRNA". It matches the Rfam family "Bacterial small subunit ribosomal RNA", at positions 59 to 793 of the family's 1533-position model. The record is from RNAcentral.